UGUUCUGUUGUUCUGGUGUGUUCCAGGUGUCCUGUGUUGUGUCCUAGCUGUUCUGUUGUUCUGGUGUGUUCCAGGUGUCCUGUGUUGUGUCCUAGCUGUCCUGUUGUUCUGGUAUGUUCCAGGUGUCCUGUGUUGUGUCCUAGCUGUUCUGUUGUUCUGGUAUGUUCCAGGUGUCCUGUGUUGUGUCCUAGCUGUUCUGUUGUUCUGGUAUGUUCCAGGUGUCCUGUGUUGUGUCCUAGCUGUUCUGUUGUUCUGGUAUGUUCCAGGUGUCCUGUGUUGUGUCCUAGCUGUCCUGUUGUUCUGGUGUGUUCCAGGUGUCCUGUGUUGUGUCCUAGCUGUUCUGUUGUUCUGGUGUGUUCCAGGUGUCCUGUGUUGUGUCCUAGCUGUUCUGUUGUUCUGGUAUGUUCCAGGUGUCCUGUGUUGUGUCCUAGCUGUUCUGUUGUUCUGGUGUGUUCCAGGUGUCCUGUGUUGUGUCCUAGCUGUCCUGUUGUUCUGGUGUGUUCCAGGUGUCCUGUGUUGUGUCCUAGCUGUCCUGUUGUUCUGGUGUGUUCCAGGUGUCCUGUGUUGUGUCCUAGCUGUCC
This is a long non-coding RNA of Oncorhynchus keta (chum salmon), 581 nucleotides long. RefSeq lists it as uncharacterized. The transcript is spliced from 3 exons. Lineage: Eukaryota; Metazoa; Chordata; Actinopteri; Salmoniformes; Salmonidae. The record is from RefSeq and is a predicted model, not a curated record.